ACGGGUGUGCAUGCAGAUCAUG
RNAcentral lists this microRNA (22 nucleotides) under Ascaris suum (pig roundworm). Its description in RNAcentral is "asu-miR-81b-5p". Its record names the gene asu-miR-81b-5p. Lineage: Eukaryota; Metazoa; Nematoda; Chromadorea; Rhabditida; Ascarididae. The record is from miRBase by way of RNAcentral.